RNAcentral lists this ribosomal RNA (255 nucleotides) under uncultured bacterium. RNAcentral describes it as "partial 16S ribosomal RNA". It matches the Rfam family "Bacterial small subunit ribosomal RNA", at positions 524 to 776 of the family's 1533-position model. The record is from RNAcentral.
UACAGAGGUCUCAAGCGUUGUUCGGAUUCAUUGGGCGUAAAGGGUGCGUAGGCGGCGCGGUAAGUCGGGUGUGAAAUCUUGGAGCUUAACUCCGAAACUGCAUUCGAUACUGCCGUGCUUGAGGACUGGAGAGGAGACUGGAAUUUACGGGUGUAGCGGUGAAAUGCGUAGAUAAUCAGGUGGAACACCAGUGGCGAAGGCGGCUUUCUGGACGGUAACUGACGCUGAGACGCGAAAGCGUGGGGAGCAAACAGG